CUUUAGCCCUGAUGGAAGUGGAAAUCCUUGUCUCGUUUUUUUGACGAGACAAGAUUGUAACGGACAGCAGGAAUAUGG
Molecule: small RNA, 78 nt
Filed under: Flavobacterium swingsii
Lineage: Bacteria; Pseudomonadati; Bacteroidota; Flavobacteriia; Flavobacteriales; Flavobacteriaceae
Description: Flavo-1 RNA
Rfam family: Flavo-1 RNA
Source: RNAcentral